This 423-nucleotide ribosomal RNA is filed under the name uncultured bacterium. Its description in RNAcentral is "partial 16S ribosomal RNA". It matches the Rfam family "Bacterial small subunit ribosomal RNA", at positions 361 to 776 of the family's 1533-position model. The record is from RNAcentral.
AAUUUGGACAAAGGGGCCCAGCCUUAUCCCGGCAAUCCGCGUGGAUGAAGAAGGCCUUCGGGGUGUUAAGCCCUUUCGGACGGAAAGAAAUCGGGCAGGCUCAUACCCCGCGCGGGUGACGGUACCGGCCAAAGAAGGCCCGGCCAACCACGUGCCCACAGCCGCGGGAAUACGUAGGGUGCGCGCGUUAAUCGGAAUUACUGGGCGUAAAGCGUGCGCAGGCGGUUGAUUAAGACAGGCGUGAAAUCCCCGGGCUUAACCUGGGAACUGCGCUUGUGACUGGUCAGCUAGAGUACGGCAGAGGGGGGUGGAAUUCCACGUGUAGCAGUGAAAUGCGUAGAGAUGUGGAGGAACACCGAUGGCGAAGGCAGCCCCCUGGGCCGGUACUGACGCUCAUGCACGAAAGCGUGGGUAGCAAACAGG